AUGAAUGGACGCUUUCUAGAUGCUACAACGGAUGAGCUUAAUGUGAGUGAUGUUACAUGUAUUAUCUGCUGUGAAGAGACGACAACAGCAAAGAAGCUGCUUUGUGGGCACUUGUUUCAUGUGCAUUGUCUGAGGUCAUGGCGAGAGCGCCAAAAUACUUGCCCGACAUGUAGAUCUCCCAUUGCCCCCCGGACAAUGGACGUGCUCCAUCAGCGCGAUAGCAUGAAGCCCAACUGGGAGUUAGCUUGCUGCAGGCGUCGGUGCUCCAGGUCCAGAAGGAGUAACAAGCAAGAACGUGAACAGGCGCCCAACAAAAUAGGUUGUUACAUCCCCAAAGAGGAUUCCAGCAGCAAAACUUCAAGCUUGAAUGGAAGUUGUACAAAAAAAUGCCUGGGCGUGCAAGUUUUAUGUGAAAAUGAUGCACCGGCGGUCUUUUGGAAGAAUGGGAAAAUCACAUGGAUGUCGGAUUGCAAGCACGUAGGGCAUUGCUUAUGUGGCGUACAGUUCAUAAAAACCUCCUGA
This 522-nucleotide ribosomal RNA is filed under the name Triticum aestivum (bread wheat). RNAcentral describes it as "partial small subunit ribosomal RNA". Lineage: Eukaryota; Viridiplantae; Streptophyta; Magnoliopsida; Poales; Poaceae. The record is from RNAcentral.